GGUGAACGCUGGCGGUAGGCCUAACACAUGCAAGUCGAACGGCAGCACAGUAAGAGCUUGCUCUUACGGGUGGCGAGUGGCGGACGGGUGAGGAAUACAUCGGAAUCUACUUUUUCGCGGGGGAUAACGUAGGGAAACUUACGCUAAUACCGCAUACGACCUACGGGUGAAAGCAGGGGAUCUUCGGACCUUGCGCGAUUGAAUGAGCCGAUGUCGGAUUAGCUAGUUGGCGGGGUAAAGGCCCACCAAGGCGACGAUCCGUAGCUGGUCUGAGAGGAUGAUCAGCCACACUGGAACUGAGACACGGUCCAGACUCCUACGGGAGGCAGCAGUGGGGAAUAUUGGACAAUGGGCGCAAGCCUGAUCCAGCCAUACCGCGUGGGUGAAGAAGGCCUUCGGGUUGUAAAGCCCUUUUGUUGGGAAAGAAAAGCAGCAGGUUAAUACCCCGCUGUUCUGACGGUACCCAAAGAAUAAGCACCGGCUAACUUCGUG
Molecule: ribosomal RNA, 492 nt
Filed under: uncultured bacterium
Lineage: Bacteria
Description: partial 16S ribosomal RNA
Rfam family: Bacterial small subunit ribosomal RNA
Source: RNAcentral